RNAcentral lists this ribosomal RNA (2905 nucleotides) under Escherichia coli. RNAcentral's name for it is "23S ribosomal RNA". It matches the Rfam family "Bacterial large subunit ribosomal RNA". Lineage: Bacteria; Pseudomonadati; Pseudomonadota; Gammaproteobacteria; Enterobacterales; Enterobacteriaceae. The record is from RNAcentral.
GGUUAAGCGACUAAGCGUACACGGUGGAUGCCCUGGCAGUCAGAGGCGAUGAAGGACGUGCUAAUCUGCGAUAAGCGUCGGUAAGGUGAUAUGAACCGUUAUAACCGGCGAUUUCCGAAUGGGGAAACCCAGUGUGUUUCGACACACUAUCAUUAACUGAAUCCAUAGGUUAAUGAGGCGAACCGGGGGAACUGAAACAUCUAAGUACCCCGAGGAAAAGAAAUCAACCGAGAUUCCCCCAGUAGCGGCGAGCGAACGGGGAGGAGCCCAGAGCCUGAAUCAGUGUGUGUGUUAGUGGAAGCGUCUGGAAAGGCGCGCGAUACAGGGUGACAGCCCCGUACACAAAAAUGCACAUGCUGUGAGCUCGAUGAGUAGGGCGGGACACGUGGUAUCCUGUCUGAAUAUGGGGGGACCAUCCUCCAAGGCUAAAUACUCCUGACUGACCGAUAGUGAACCAGUACCGUGAGGGAAAGGCGAAAAGAACCCCGGCGAGGGGAGUGAAAAAGAACCUGAAACCGUGUACGUACAAGCAGUGGGAGCCUCUUUAUGGGGUGACUGCGUACCUUUUGUAUAAUGGGUCAGCGACUUAUAUUCUGUAGCAAGGUUAACCGAAUAGGGGAGCCGAAGGGAAACCGAGUCUUAACUGGGCGUUAAGUUGCAGGGUAUAGACCCGAAACCCGGUGAUCUAGCCAUGGGCAGGUUGAAGGUUGGGUAACACUAACUGGAGGACCGAACCGACUAAUGUUGAAAAAUUAGCGGAUGACUUGUGGCUGGGGGUGAAAGGCCAAUCAAACCGGGAGAUAGCUGGUUCUCCCCGAAAGCUAUUUAGGUAGCGCCUCGUGAAUUCAUCUCCGGGGGUAGAGCACUGUUUCGGCAAGGGGGUCAUCCCGACUUACCAACCCGAUGCAAACUGCGAAUACCGGAGAAUGUUAUCACGGGAGACACACGGCGGGUGCUAACGUCCGUCGUGAAGAGGGAAACAACCCAGACCGCCAGCUAAGGUCCCAAAGUCAUGGUUAAGUGGGAAACGAUGUGGGAAGGCCCAGACAGCCAGGAUGUUGGCUUAGAAGCAGCCAUCAUUUAAAGAAAGCGUAAUAGCUCACUGGUCGAGUCGGCCUGCGCGGAAGAUGUAACGGGGCUAAACCAUGCACCGAAGCUGCGGCAGCGACGCUUAUGCGUUGUUGGGUAGGGGAGCGUUCUGUAAGCCUGUGAAGGUGUACUGUGAGGUAUGCUGGAGGUAUCAGAAGUGCGAAUGCUGACAUAAGUAACGAUAAAGCGGGUGAAAAGCCCGCUCGCCGGAAGACCAAGGGUUCCUGUCCAACGUUAAUCGGGGCAGGGUGAGUCGACCCCUAAGGCGAGGCCGAAAGGCGUAGUCGAUGGGAAACAGGUUAAUAUUCCUGUACUUGGUGUUACUGCGAAGGGGGGACGGAGAAGGCUAUGUUGGCCGGGCGACGGUUGUCCCGGUUUAAGCGUGUAGGCUGGUUUUCCAGGCAAAUCCGGAAAACUAAGGCUGAGGCGUGAUGACGAGGCACUACGGUGCUGAAGCAACAAAUGCCCUGCUUCCAGGAAAAGCCUCUAAGCAUCAGGUAACAUCAAAUCGUACCCCAAACCGACACAGGUGGUCAGGUAGAGAAUACCAAGGCGCUUGAGAGAACUCGGGUGAAGGAACUAGGCAAAAUGGUGCCGUAACUUCGGGAGAAGGCACGCUGAUAUGUAGGUGAAGUCCCUCACGGAUGGAGCUGAAAUCAGUCGAAGAUACCAGCUGGCUGCAACUGUUUAUUAAAAACACAGCACUGUGCAAACACGAAAGUGGACGUAUACGGUGUGACGCCUGCCCGGUGCCGGAAGGUUAAUUGAUGGGGUUAGCGGUAACGCGAAGCUCUUGAUCGAAGCCCCGGUAAACGGCGGCCGUAACUAUAACGGUCCUAAGGUAGCGAAAUUCCUUGUCGGGUAAGUUCCGACCUGCACGAAUGGCGUAAUGAUGGCCAGGCUGUCUCCACCCGAGACUCAGUGAAAUUGAACUCGCUGUGAAGAUGCAGUGUACCCGCGGCAAGACGGAAAGACCCCGUGAACCUUUACUAUAGCUUGACACUGAACAUUGAGCCUUGAUGUGUAGGAUAGGUGGGAGGCUUUGAAGUGUGGACGCCAGUCUGCAUGGAGCCGACCUUGAAAUACCACCCUUUAAUGUUUGAUGUUCUAACGUUGGCCCCUGAUCGGGGUUGCGGACAGUGUCUGGUGGGUAGUUUGACUGGGGCGGUCUCCUCCUAAAGAGUAACGGAGGAGCACGAAGGUUGGCUAAUCCUGGUCGGACAUCAGGAGGUUAGUGCAAUGGCAUAAGCCAGCUUGACUGCGAGCGUGACGGCGCGAGCAGGUGCGAAAGCAGGUCAUAGUGAUCCGGUGGUUCUGAAUGGAAGGGCCAUCGCUCAACGGAUAAAAGGUACUCCGGGGAUAACAGGCUGAUACCGCCCAAGAGUUCAUAUCGACGGCGGUGUUUGGCACCUCGAUGUCGGCUCAUCACAUCCUGGGGCUGAAGUAGGUCCCAAGGGUAUGGCUGUUCGCCAUUUAAAGUGGUACGCGAGCUGGGUUUAGAACGUCGUGAGACAGUUCGGUCCCUAUCUGCCGUGGGCGCUGGAGAACUGAGGGGGGCUGCUCCUAGUACGAGAGGACCGGAGUGGACGCAUCACUGGUGUUCGGGUUGUCAUGCCAAUGGCACUGCCCGGUAGCUAAAUGCGGAAGAGAUAAGUGCUGAAAGCAUCUAAGCACGAAACUUGCCCCGAGAUGAGUUCUCCCUGACUCCUUGAGAGUCCUGAAGGAACGUUGAAGACGACGACGUUGAUAGGCCGGGUGUGUAAGCGCAGCGAUGCGUUGAGCUAACCGGUACUAAUGAACCGUGAGGCUUAACCUU